GACGAACGCAGGCGGCGUGCUUAACACAUGCAAGUCGAACGGUAAGGCCCUUCGGGGUACACGAGUGGCGAACGGGUGAGUAACACGUGGGUGAUCUGCCCUGCACUUCGGGAUAAGCCUGGGAAACUGGGUCCAAUACCGGAUAGGACUCCGGACUGUAUGGUCUGGGGUGGAAAGCGUUUGCGGUGUGGGAUGGGCCCGCGGCCUAUCAGCUUGUUGGUGGGGUGAUGGCCUACCAAGGCGACGACGGGUAGCCGGCCUGAGAGGGUGACCGGCAACACUGGUACUGAGAUACGGCCCAGACUCCUACGGGAGGCAGCAGUGGGGAGUAUUGCACAAUGUGCGCAAGCCUGAUGCAGCGACGCCGCGUGAGGGAUGACGGCCUUCGGGUUGUAAACCUCUUUCAGCAUCGACGAAGCGAAAGUGACGGUAGGUGCAGAAGAAGGACCGGCCAACUACGUGCCAGCCGCCGCCGUAA
RNAcentral lists this ribosomal RNA (478 nucleotides) under uncultured bacterium. RNAcentral describes it as "partial 16S ribosomal RNA". It matches the Rfam family "Bacterial small subunit ribosomal RNA", at positions 28 to 523 of the family's 1533-position model. The record is from RNAcentral.